This 269-nucleotide ribosomal RNA is filed under the name uncultured prokaryote. RNAcentral describes it as "partial 16S ribosomal RNA". It matches the Rfam family "Bacterial small subunit ribosomal RNA", at positions 524 to 794 of the family's 1533-position model. The record is from RNAcentral.
UACGUAGGGGCUAGCGUUAUCCGGAUUUACUGGGCGUAAAGGGUGCGUAGGCGGUCUUUCAAGUCAGGAGUGAAAGGCUACGGCUCAACCGUAGUAAGCUCUUGAAACUGUAAGACUUGAGUGCAGGAGAGGAGAGUGGAAUUCCUAGUGUAGCGGUGAAAUGCGUAGAUAUUAGGAGGAACACCAGUUGCGAAGGCGGCUCUAUGGACUGUAACUGACGCUGAGGCACGAAAGCGUGGGGAGCAAACAGGAUUAGAUACCCCUGUAGU